RNAcentral lists this ribosomal RNA (447 nucleotides) under uncultured bacterium. Its description in RNAcentral is "bacterial SSU rRNA". It matches the Rfam family "Bacterial small subunit ribosomal RNA", at positions 29 to 506 of the family's 1533-position model. The record is from RNAcentral.
ACGAACGCUGGCGGCAGGCUUAACACAUGCAAGUCGAGCGCGCCCUUUCGGGGGUGAGCGGCGGACGGGUGAGUAACGCGUGGGAACGUGCCCUUCUCUCUGGAAUAGCCCUGGGAAACCGGGAGUAAUGCCGGAUACGCCGGGCCAUAGCGAUAUGGUUUGGGAAAGAUUUAUCGGGGGAGGAUCGGCCCGCGUCGGAUUAGGUAGUUGGUGGGAUAACGGCCUACCAAGCCGACGAUCCGUAGCUGGUUUGAGAGGAUGACCAGCCACACUGGGACUGAGACACGGCCCAGACUCCUACGGGAGGCAGCAGUGGGGAAUCUUGGACAAUGGGGGCAACCCUGAUCCAGCCAUGCCGCGUGAGCGAUGAAGGCCUUAGGGUUGUAAAGCUCUUUCAGCGGGGAAGAUAAUGACGGUACCCGCAGAAGAAGCCCCGGCUAACUCCGU